Molecule: ribosomal RNA, 253 nt
Filed under: uncultured bacterium
Lineage: Bacteria
Description: partial 16S ribosomal RNA
Rfam family: Bacterial small subunit ribosomal RNA
Source: RNAcentral
UACAGAGGUGGCAAGCGUUGUUCGGAAUUAUUGGGCGUAAAGAGCUCGUAGGCGGUCUGUUGCGUCGGCUGUGAAAACCCGGGGCUCAACCCCGGGCCUGCAGCCGAUACGGGCAGACUAGAGUUCGGCAGGGGAGACUGGAAUUCCUGGUGUAGCGGUGAAAUGCGCAGAUAUCAGGAGGAACACCGGUGGCGAAGGCGGGUCUCUGGGCCGAUACUGACGCUGAGGAGCGAAAGCGUGGGGAGCGAACAGG